RNAcentral lists this unclassified non-coding RNA (348 nucleotides) under soil metagenome. RNAcentral's name for it is "partial contains 5.8S ribosomal RNA, internal transcribed spacer 2, and large subunit ribosomal RNA". The stretch from base 1 to 120 matches the Rfam family "5.8S ribosomal RNA", at positions 35 to 154 of the family's 154-position model. The record is from RNAcentral.
GAUGAAGAACGCAGCGAAAUGCGAUAAGUAAUGUGAAUUGCAGAAUUCAGUGAAUCAUCGAAUCUUUGAACGCAUAUUGCGCCCGCCAGUAUUCUGGCGGGCAUGCCUGUCUGAGCGUCAUUUCAACCCUCAUGCCCCUAGGGCGUGGUGUUGGGGAUCGGCCAAAGCCCGCGAGGGACGGCCGGCCCCUAAAUCUAGUGGCGGACCCGUCGUGGCCUCCUCUGCGAAGUAGUGAUAUUCCGCAUCGGAGAGCGAUGAGCCCCUGCCGUUAAACCCCCAACUUUCCAAGGUUGACCUCAGAUCAGGUAGGAAUACCCGCUGAACUUAAGCAUAUCAAUAAGCGGAGGA